AGGUGCGAUUAGACCAGCACUAAUGCACUGGAUCCCAUCAGAACUCUGCAGUUAAGCGUGCUUCGGCGAGAGUAGUACUAGGAUGGGUGACCUCCUGGGAAGUCCUCGUGUUGCACCUC
RNAcentral lists this ribosomal RNA (119 nucleotides) under Vigna angularis (adzuki bean). The record is from RNAcentral. Lineage: Eukaryota; Viridiplantae; Streptophyta; Magnoliopsida; Fabales; Fabaceae.